CUUAGAAGCAGCCAUACAUUUAAAGAGUGCGUAAUAGCUCACUGGUCAAGUGAUUUUGCGCCAAAGAUUUCCGGGGCUAAAUCUGAUACCGAAGUCGUGGACUUGGAUAACAAGUGGUAGAGGAGCAUUGUAUGAAGGCUGAAGCAGUACCGAAAGGAGCUGUGGACAUCAUAGAAGAGAGAAUGCUGGCAUAAGUAGCGAAAAGGCGAGUGAGAAUCUCGCCCGUCGAAAACCUAAGGAUUCCUGGGCAAGGCUCGUCCCCCCAGGGUAAGUCGGGACCUAAGGCCAGGCUGAAAAGCGUAGCCGAUGGACAACAGGUUGAAAUUCCUGUACUAUCUUAAAUCGCAACUAGCAACGUGGGGACGCAGGAGGAUAGCCUUACCGUACAACAAGGAAAAGUACGGCUAAAUAACAAGCCAGAGUCUACAGGGAAAACCGUAGACUUGCAAAAGUGAGUUAUGAUGGGGAUCGAAAAACAAGUAGAGAAGAAGCACUAUUCACACUGCCAAGAAAAACCACUAGCGAGAUGAAAAGAUACCCGUACCGCAAACCGACACAGGUAGGAAAGGAGAGAAUCCUAAGACGCGCGGAAGAACCUUUGUUAAGGAACUCGGCAAAAUGACCCCGUAAGUUAGCGAGAAGGGGAGCCAGAGCGAUCUGGCCGCAGUGAAUAGGCCCAAGCGACUGUUUACCAAAAACACAAGUUUCUGCUAAGUCGUAAGACGAAGUAUAGGAGCUGACACCUGCCCGGUGCUGGAAGGUUAAGGGGAAGGCUUAGCGUAAGCGAAGGCUAGAACUUAAGCCCCAGUAAACGGCGGCCGUAACUAUAACGGUCCUAAGGUAGCGAAAUUCCUUGUCGGGUAAGUUCCGACCCGCACGAAAGGUGUAACGAUUUGGGCACUGUCUCAACAAAGGAUCCGGUGAAAUUGUAGUAGCGGUAAAGAUGCCGCUUACCCACGACAGGACGGAAAGACCCCAUGGAGCUUUACUGCAGGCUGAUAUUGGAUUUCGGAAUGGACUGUACAGGAUAGGUGGGAGACAUAGAACGGAGCACGCCAGUGUUUCGGGAGUCGCCCUUGGGAUACCACUCUAUUCAUUCUGGAAUUCUAACCUACUUCCGUGAAUCCGGAAGAGGGACACUGUCAGUUGGGCAGUUUGACUGGGGCGGUCGCCUCCCAAAAAGUAACGGAGGCGUUCAAAGGUUCCCUCAGCACGGACGGAAAUCGUGCAAAGAGUAUAAAGGCAGAAGGGAGCUUAACUGCGAGACCAACAAGUCGAGCAGAUGCGAAAGCAGGACUUAGUGAUCCGGUGGUACCGAGUGGAAGGGCCAUCGCUCAACGGAUAAAAGCUACCCUGGGGAUAACAGGCUUAUCUCCCCCAAGAGUCCACAUCGACGGGGAGGUUUGGCACCUCGAUGUCGGCUCGUCUCAUCCUGGGGCUG
RNAcentral lists this ribosomal RNA (1441 nucleotides) under human gut metagenome. RNAcentral's name for it is "bacterial LSU rRNA". It matches the Rfam family "Bacterial large subunit ribosomal RNA", at positions 1105 to 2555 of the family's 2925-position model. The record is from RNAcentral.